This 449-nucleotide ribosomal RNA is filed under the name uncultured Bifidobacterium sp. Its description in RNAcentral is "bacterial SSU rRNA". It matches the Rfam family "Bacterial small subunit ribosomal RNA", at positions 179 to 640 of the family's 1533-position model. The record is from RNAcentral. Lineage: Bacteria; Bacillati; Actinomycetota; Actinomycetes; Bifidobacteriales; Bifidobacteriaceae.
CACAUGAUCGCAUGUGAUUGUGGGAAAGAUUCUAUCGGCGUGGGAUGGGGUCGCGUCCUAUCAGCUUGUUGGUGAGGUAACGGCUCACCAAGGCUUCGACGGGUAGCCGGCCUGAGAGGGCGACCGGCCACAUUGGGACUGAGAUACGGCCCAGACUCCUACGGGAGGCAGCAGUGGGGAAUAUUGCACAAUGGGCGCAAGCCUGAUGCAGCGACGCCGCGUGAGGGAUGGAGGCCUUCGGGUUGUAAACCUCUUUUGUUUGGGAGCAAGCCUUCGGGUGAGUGUACCUUUCGAAUAAGCGCCGGCUAACUACGUGCCAGCAGCCGCGGUAAUACGUAGGGCGCAAGCGUUAUCCGGAUUUAUUGGGCGUAAAGGGCUCGUAGGCGGCUCGUCGCGUCCGGUGUGAAAGUCCAUCGCUUAACGGUGGAUCUGCGCCGGGUACGGGCGGG